RNAcentral lists this ribosomal RNA (300 nucleotides) under uncultured cyanobacterium. RNAcentral's name for it is "bacterial SSU rRNA". It matches the Rfam family "Bacterial small subunit ribosomal RNA", at positions 114 to 416 of the family's 1533-position model. The record is from RNAcentral. Lineage: Bacteria; Bacillati; Cyanobacteriota.
CACGUAGGUAACCUGCCCUUUAGUGGGGGAUACCCAGUCGAAAGAUUGGCUAAUACCGCAUGAGCUCUAUGGUUGGAAUACUGUAGAGGAAAGAUUUAUCGCUAAAGGAGGGGCCUGGGUCCGAUUAGCUAGUUGGUGAGGUAAAGGCUCACCAAGGCGACGAUCGGUAGCUGGUCUGAGAGGACGAUCAGCCACACUGGAACUGAGACACGGUCCAGACUCCUACGGGAGGCAGCAGUGGGGAAUUUUCCGCAAUGGGCGAAAGCCUGACGGAGCAACGCUGCGUGGAUGAUGAAGUCU